GUGAGGAAUAUUGGUCAAUGGGCGAGAGCCUGAACCAGCCAAGUCGCGUGAAGGAAGAAGGAUCUAUGGUUCGUAAACUUCUUUUGCAGGGGAAUAAAGUGCAGGACGUGUCCUGUUUUGUAUGUACCCUGAGAAUAAGGAUCGGCUAACUCCGUGCCAGCAGCCGCGGUAAUACGGAGGAUCCGAGCGUUAUCCGGAUUUAUUGGGUUUAAAGGGUGCGUAGGUGGUUUGAUAAGUCAGCGGUGAAAGUUUGCAGCUUAACUGUAAAAAUGCCGUUGAAACUGUCGGACUUGAGUGUAAAUGAGGUAGGCGGAAUGCGUGGUGUAGCGGUGAAAUGCAUAGAUAUCACGCAGAGCUCCGAUUGCGAAGGCAGCUUACUAAGCUACAACUGACACUGAAGCACGAAAGCGUGGGGAUCAAACAGGAUUAGAAACCCGUGUAGUCC
RNAcentral lists this ribosomal RNA (445 nucleotides) under uncultured bacterium. RNAcentral's name for it is "partial 16S ribosomal RNA". It matches the Rfam family "Bacterial small subunit ribosomal RNA", at positions 354 to 796 of the family's 1533-position model. The record is from RNAcentral.